Molecule: long non-coding RNA, 201 nt
Filed under: Prunus dulcis (almond)
Lineage: Eukaryota; Viridiplantae; Streptophyta; Magnoliopsida; Rosales; Rosaceae
Description: sRNA ncRNA
Source: RNAcentral
AUGCAUGCUUCCACUUGUUUAGUUGUUCUACCUCAUGUUAAAAGGGAAGCAUUUUUCUUUUUAACAUCGCAUGAUGAUUACAUGACCUUAUUAAUUCUUUGUACGACAAAAGGAUCCUUUGUUUUUGCUUUAACCCCGGGAUAUGCCAAUUUCAUUCUUCUUUUAAGAUUACCACUUGAAUGGAUAUACCCAGCCAGCUGA